AAGGAAUAUUGGUCAAUGGACGCAAGUCUGAACCAGCCAUGCCGCGUGAAGGAUGAAGGUCCUCUGGAUUGUAAACUUCUUUUAUAUGGGAAGAAAUCCCGGAAUUCUUUCUGGGUUGACGGUACCAUAGGAAUAAGCACCGGCUAACUCCGUGCCAGCAGCCGCGGUAAUACGGAGGGUGCAAGCGUUAUCCGGAUUCACUGGGUUUAAAGGGUGCGUAGGAGGGCAGGUAAGUCAGUGGUGAAAUCUCCAAGCUUAACUUGGAAACUGCCGUUGGUACUAUCUGUCUUGAAUAUUGUGGAGGUGAGCGGAAUAUGUCAUGUAGCGGUGAAAUGCUUAGAUAUGACAUAGAACACCAAUUGCGAGGGCAGCUCGCUACACAUAUAUUGACUCUGAGGCACGAAAGCGUGGGGAUCAAAC
RNAcentral lists this ribosomal RNA (420 nucleotides) under uncultured bacterium. RNAcentral's name for it is "bacterial SSU rRNA". It matches the Rfam family "Bacterial small subunit ribosomal RNA", at positions 356 to 773 of the family's 1533-position model. The record is from RNAcentral.